UACGUAGGGUGCAAGCGUUGUCCGGAAUUAUUGGGCGUAAAGAGCUCGUAGGCGGUCUGUCGCGUCGGCUGUGAAAACACGGGGCUCAACUCCGUGCCUGCAGUCGAUACGGGCAGACUAGAGUUCGGUAGGGGAGACUGGAAUUCCUGGUGUAGCGGUGAAAUGCGCAGAUAUCAGGAGGAACACCGGUGGCGAAGGCGGGUCUCUGGGCCGAAACUGACGCUGAGGAGCGAAAGCGUGGGGAGCGAACAGG
This 253-nucleotide ribosomal RNA is filed under the name uncultured bacterium. Its description in RNAcentral is "partial 16S ribosomal RNA". It matches the Rfam family "Bacterial small subunit ribosomal RNA", at positions 524 to 776 of the family's 1533-position model. The record is from RNAcentral.